UAGAAGCUGGUACAUGUACAGCACAGGAUC
RNAcentral lists this non-coding RNA (30 nucleotides) under Rattus norvegicus (Norway rat). Lineage: Eukaryota; Metazoa; Chordata; Mammalia; Rodentia; Muridae. The record is from RNAcentral.